CAGUCGCCACGGUAAAACGAAGGGGGCUAGCGUUACUCGGAAUUACUGGGCGUAAAGGGCGCGUAGGCGGCACGAUUAGUCAGGCGUGAAAUUCCUGGGCUCAACCUGGGGACUGCGCUUGAUACGGUCGAGCUAGAGGAUGGAAGAGGGUUGUGGAAUUCCCAGUGUAGAGGUGAAAUUCGUAGAUAUUGGGAAGAACACCGGUGGCGAAGGCGGCAACCUGGUCCAUUACUGACGCUGAGGCGCGACAGCGUGGGGAGCAAACAGGAUUAGAUACCCCGUAGUCCCUGUCUCUUAUACA
RNAcentral lists this ribosomal RNA (301 nucleotides) under uncultured bacterium. Its description in RNAcentral is "partial 16S ribosomal RNA". It matches the Rfam family "Bacterial small subunit ribosomal RNA", at positions 509 to 808 of the family's 1533-position model. The record is from RNAcentral.